UGCCACAUAGUGUAGCGGUUAGCACCUUUGGUUUUGAGCUCCCUCAAGCAUCAACGUCCAAAUAACCCGGGUUCGAAUCCCGGUGAGGCAU
This is a non-coding RNA of Naganishia vaughanmartiniae, 91 nucleotides long. NCBI's taxonomy places the organism in Eukaryota, Fungi, Basidiomycota, Tremellomycetes, Filobasidiales, Filobasidiaceae. The record is from the annotation of a GenBank genome assembly.